Molecule: non-coding RNA, 110 nt
Organism: Triticum aestivum (bread wheat)
Lineage: Eukaryota; Viridiplantae; Streptophyta; Magnoliopsida; Poales; Poaceae
Source: Rfam
AUAGUAUUCCCUCCGUCCCAAAAUUCUUGUCUUAGAUUUGUCUAAAUACGGAGAUACAUCCGUAUCUAGACAAAUCUAAGACAAGAAUUUUGGGACGGAGGGAGUAGCUG